AGAGUUUGAUCCUGGCUCAGGAUGAACGCUAGCGGCAGGCCUAAUACAUGCAAGCCGAACGGCAAGUUUGAUAGCAAUAUUGAACCUAGAGUGGCGUAAGGGUGCGUAACACGUAUGCAAUCUGCCCUGUACAGGGGAAUAGCUCGGUGAAAACCGGAUUAAUGCCCCGUAAUAUGUUUGGAAGGCAUCUUCUGAUCAUUAAAGUUGAGGCGGUACAGGAUGAGCAUGCGUAUGAUUAGUUAGUUGGCGGGGUAACGGCCCACCAAGACGAUGAUCAUUAGGGGAACUGAGAGGUUGAUCCCCCACACUGGCACUGAGAUACGGGCCAGACUCCUACGGGAGGCAGCAGUAGGGAAUAUUGGACAAUGGGUGAGAGCCUGAUCCAGCCAUGCCGCGUGCAGGAAGAAGGCCUUCUGGGUUGUAAACUGCUUUUGCCAGGGGAUAAAAUGUCUGUGCGCAGAUAAUUGAAGGUACCUGGUGAAUAAGCCACGGCUAACUACGUGCCAGCAGCCGCGGUAAUACGUAGGUGGCAAGCGUUGUCCGGAUUUAUUGGGUUUAAAGGGUGCGUAGGCGGUCCUAUAAGUCAGUUGUGAAAUACGGCAGCUUAACUGUCGAGGUGCAAUUGAUACUGCAGGACUUGAGUACAGACGAGGUAGGCGGAAUUGACGGUGUAGCGGUGAAAUGCUUAGAUAUCGUCAAGAACACCGAUAGCGAAGGCAGCUUACUAGACUGUAACUGACGCUGAGGCACGAAAGUGUGGGGAUCAAACAGGAUUAGAUACCCUGGUAGUCCACACUGUAAACGAUGAUUACUCGAUGUUGGCGAUACACAGCCAGCGUCUUAGCGAAAGCGUUAAGUUAUCCACCUGGGGAGUACGAUCGCAAGGUUGAAACUCAAAGGAAUUGACGGGGGCCCGCACAAGCGGUGGAGCAUGUGGUUUAAUUCGAUGAUACGCGAGGAACCUUACCAGGGCUUAAAUGGGAAUUGACAGACUGGGAAACUAGUCCUCCUUCGGGCAAUUUUCAAGGUGCUGCAUGGUUGUCGUCAGCUCGUGCCGUGAGGUGUUGGGUUAAGUCCCGCAACGAGCGCAACCCCUACUGUUAGUUGCCAGCAUGUAAUGAUGGGGACUCUAGCAUAACUGCCAGCGCAAGCUGUGAGGAAGGUGGGGAUGACGUCAAAUCAUCACGGCCCUUACGUCCUGGGCUACACACGUGCUACAAUGGUCGAUACAGAGGGCAGCCACCUGGUGACAGGGAGCAAAUCCUUAAAAUCGAUCUCAGUUCGGAUUGGAGUCUGCAACUCGACUCUAUGAAGCUGGAAUCGCUAGUAAUCGCAUAUCAGCCAUGAUGCGGUGAAUACGUUCCCGGGCCUUGUACACACCGCCCGUCAAGCCAUGGAAGUUGGGGGUGCCUAAAGUGCGUAACCGUAAGGAGCGCCCUAGGGCAAAACUGAUAACUGGGGCUAAGUCGUAACAAGGUA
RNAcentral lists this ribosomal RNA (1479 nucleotides) under metagenome. RNAcentral describes it as "bacterial SSU rRNA". It matches the Rfam family "Bacterial small subunit ribosomal RNA". The record is from RNAcentral.